AUUAAAAAAUCCACCAAUAAAAAUUGCACAUACAAUUUAAUCUCAAGCAAUUUUUAAAUAAUAUAAUUUAGUCUCAUAUAAUUUCGUUUUAAAUAAUGCAAUUUUUAUUUUAUGUGAUGAAAUUUAGUUUUAAAUAAUUUUAAAUGGUGUAACACAAUCAAGUAGUACAACUCAUUCUCUUUUUCUUCUUUUUGGUCCUUGACCUUUUCUAUAGCGACCAUGAUACGCGAUAGCCUUCCUUUCAUUCUCUGUAUCUUUUUUCACUAUUGCGAUCUCUCCCUCUCCGUCGUUCUCAAAUUCUACGGCACUUUUGUUAUCGUCGUCAUCCACGACCAAGCGCUCCGCCGCAGGCUCACCCCUGCGUCUUGUGCUAUAUUCGAGCAUGUACCAACAAAGAUGUAGAUAGGGUAAAAGAGUAUAGCAUGAUAUCAACGCGGGGGCGAUGUAAGAGGAGGAGAAGGAAAAAGAAGCGGUGACCGGGAGGCGAAAGAGAGGAAGAAAUGUCGAUGAGGAAAGAGACGAAUCAGAAGGGGAAAAACCAACGAUGAAAGAGAGAGAAAGAGAGAGAAAGAAACAAGAGUAUUUUAAUUAGUUUACGAAAAAUUCGGACCUAAUCUACAAAAUCCAAAAUAAUAAUCCGUUUUUGCAAACUCCUUGAAUUUUUUAAUGCAAAUUUACCUAAUUUUAUGUGCCUAAGCCAUCGGUUUGCAUAUGAUUUAGGUAAGCUAUAGCUUUUGGUUCUCAAACUAUAAAAUAUUUGAUAUUUUGGUCAGCAUAUUUUAAUUUACUAUAGAUUUUUUAUAAAAUUUUUAAGUUAUUAUGAUUAAGUUUCAUAAUUUAAUUGAGUUGACUAAUCAUUAAUGUGUUACUAUAUAAAAGUAAUAUAGUAGUGUUGUGAUUGAUGAUACAGUAAUAAUUAAAAUGUCACUUACUUUCACAUCAAUGAUAUGCUAAUAUUUAAUUAACUACAUUAAGUUAUGAGAAUUGAUUACAAUAUUUUAGAAAAUUCGAGCUAGAAAUUAUAAUAAAUUAAAUUUUAAGAACCAAAAUAUCAUGCGGCUCAUAGUUUGAAGACGAAAAGUAUAAUUUACCCAAUGUUUUCCUUUACAUAGUCUUCGCGGUUCAAUGACUUUAAAAUCUUUUUUGAACUUUUAGUAUUGUUAAAAAAAGGGAAAACUUCAAAAACCCCCCCGUGGUUUCGUAGUUUCUCACUUUGCCCCCUUGUGGUUUAAAAUAUAUCAAAUUGCCCCCCUGUGGUUUCGUUUUUAUCUUUUCGGUAACUUUUUCGUUAAUAUUUCAUUAAAUUAUAUACAAAAAAACUUCAGAUACCGAUCUAGAUUUAUCAAAUAUUCACUUUAGUAUCCUUUAUGUGAGGAAGUGAAUUCUCGAAAUACGAGAGUUAGACUUCAUGCAAAAUCGACCAAGGGUCGUGUUGGUGAGCUUU
Molecule: long non-coding RNA, 1444 nt
Filed under: Ananas comosus (pineapple)
Lineage: Eukaryota; Viridiplantae; Streptophyta; Magnoliopsida; Poales; Bromeliaceae
Description: long non-coding RNA (ACOM_LNC013576)
Source: RNAcentral